This 935-nucleotide ribosomal RNA is filed under the name Guptibacillus hwajinpoensis. Its description in RNAcentral is "bacterial SSU rRNA". It matches the Rfam family "Bacterial small subunit ribosomal RNA", at positions 28 to 944 of the family's 1533-position model. Lineage: Bacteria; Bacillati; Bacillota; Bacilli; Caryophanales; Guptibacillaceae. The record is from RNAcentral.
GACGAACGCUGGCGGCGUGCCUAAUACAUGCAAGUCGAGCGGAGAAAUGGGAGCUUGCUCCCAUUUCUAGCGGCGGACGGGUGAGUAACACGUGGGCAACCUGCCCUGCAGACUGGGAUAACUCCGGGAAACCGGAGCUAAUACCGGGUAAUACAUCGCACCGCAUGGUGCAAUGUUGAAAGUUGGCUUUCGAGCUAACACUGCAGGAUGGGCCCGCGGCGCAUUAGCUAGUUGGUAAGGUAAUGGCUUACCAAGGCGACGAUGCGUAGCCGACCUGAGAGGGUGAUCGGCCACACUGGGACUGAGACACGGCCCAGACUCCUACGGGAGGCAGCAGUAGGGAAUCUUCCGCAAUGGACGAAAGUCUGACGGAGCAACGCCGCGUGAGUGACGAAGGCCUUCGGGUCGUAAAGCUCUGUUGUUAGGGAAGAACAAGUACCGUUCGAAUAGGGCGGUACCUUGACGGUACCUAACCAGAAAGCCACGGCUAACUACGUGCCAGCAGCCGCGGUAAUACGUAGGUGGCAAGCGUUGUCCGGAAUUAUUGGGCGUAAAGCGCGCGCAGGCGGUCUUUUAAGUCUGAUGUGAAAGCCCACGGCUCAACCGUGGAGGGUCAUUGGAAACUGGGGGGACUUGAGUGCAGAAGAGGAGAGUGGAAUUCCACGUGUAGCGGUGAAAUGCGUAGAUAUGUGGAGGAACACCAGUGGCGAAGGCGGCUCUCUGGUCUGUAACUGACGCUGAGGCGCGAAAGCGUGGGGAGCRAACAGGAUUAGAUACCCUGGUAGUCCACGCCGUAAACGAUGAGUGCUAGGUGUUGGGGGGUUCCACCCUCAGUGCUGAAGUUAACACAUUAAGCACUCCGCCUGGGGAGUACGACCGCAAGGUUGAAACUCAAAGGAAUUGACGGGGGCCCGCACAAGCAGUGGAGCAUGUGG